GUGGAUAGAUGAUGGGGUUCGAUGAAUUUUUGGGGUAUUUAUAUUCUAGAGUUGCCGUGGCUUAAAUUGGAAGGCGAGACGGCGAGGAAACACCCAGGCUGAUCGGCCUAGGGGAUCCAGGCCGAUCGGCCUGGGCCUUCCUUUCGUCUUCUCGCGCCCAACUUUGUCGUCAAGUCUUCACUGAUGUUAUGGAAACUUAUUUUUACUUGCAUGCACGACGUGCACGUAGAUAGUCUCAUGAUAAGGAUGGAUCUUGAUAGCUUUCCAAAGUCCUGAAACGAAC
Molecule: long non-coding RNA, 283 nt
Filed under: Setaria viridis
Lineage: Eukaryota; Viridiplantae; Streptophyta; Magnoliopsida; Poales; Poaceae
Description: long non-coding RNA (SVIR_LNC005954)
Source: RNAcentral